UACGGGGGGAGCAAGCGUUGUUCGGAUUUACUGGGCGUAAAGGGCGAGUAGGCGGCCACCGCAAGUCGACUGUGAAAUCUCCGGGCUUAACCCGGAAAGGUCAGCCGAUACUGCGGGGCUAGAGUGCAGAAGGGGCAACUGGAAUUCUCGGUGUAGCGGUGAAAUGCGUGGAUAUCGAGAGGAACACCUGCGGCGAAGGCGGGUUGCUGGGCUGACACUGACGCUGAGGCGCGAAAGCUAGGGGAGCGAACGGG
This 254-nucleotide ribosomal RNA is filed under the name uncultured bacterium. RNAcentral's name for it is "partial 16S ribosomal RNA". It matches the Rfam family "Bacterial small subunit ribosomal RNA", at positions 524 to 776 of the family's 1533-position model. The record is from RNAcentral.